RNAcentral lists this ribosomal RNA (492 nucleotides) under uncultured bacterium. Its description in RNAcentral is "partial 16S ribosomal RNA". It matches the Rfam family "Bacterial small subunit ribosomal RNA", at positions 29 to 507 of the family's 1533-position model. The record is from RNAcentral.
AGUGAACGCUGGCGGUAGGCCUAACACAUGCAAGUCGAACGGCAGCACAGUAAGAGCUUGCUCUUACGGGUGGCGAGUGGCGGACGGGUGAGGAAUACAUCGGAAUCUACUUUUUCGUGGGGGAUAACGUAGGGAAACUUACGCUAAUACCGCAUACGACCUACGGGUGAAAGCAGGGGAUCUUCGGACCUUGCGCGAUUGAAUGAGCCGAUGUCGGAUUAGCUAGUUGGCGGGGUAAAGGCCCACCAAGGCGACGAUCCGUAGCUGGUCUGAGAGGAUGAUCAGCCACACUGGAACUGAGACACGGUCCAGACUCCUACGGGAGGCAGCAGUGGGGAAUAUUGGACAAUGGGCGCAAGCCUGAUCCAGCCAUACCGCGUGGGUGAAGAAGGCCUUCGGGUUGUAAAGCCCUUUUGUUGGGAAAGAAAAGCAGCAGGUUAAUACCCCGCUGUUCCGACGGUACCCAAAGAAUGAGCACCGGCUAACUUCGUG